Molecule: unclassified non-coding RNA, 700 nt
Filed under: Sphingomonas sp. K12
Lineage: Bacteria; Pseudomonadati; Pseudomonadota; Alphaproteobacteria; Sphingomonadales; Sphingomonadaceae
Description: partial contains 16S-23S ribosomal RNA intergenic spacer and 23S ribosomal RNA
Rfam family: Bacterial large subunit ribosomal RNA (bases 559-700)
Source: RNAcentral
UCGGCCCACCAUGUCGCAGUUGCAGGACAAAUUAGCGGAACGCUAAUUUGCCCAGCAACAAGACCGGCCAGCGGGGCGAUGCCAGGCCAUAAGGCGUGGCUUUGCCACGACUGACGGGCUGGCGAGCAGUGACCUGCACGACCUUCAAGGUUUGGGGCCUUAGCUCAGCUGGGAGAGCACCUGCUUUGCAAGCAGGGGGUCAUCGGUUCGAUCCCGAUAGGCUCCACCAUUCGCCGCUGUCGCAAGAUGGCCGGCUGGAGUGGUGGGAUUGCUCGAACGAAUUCUCCGGGGAUGAAGAAACGAGUUCCGGCCAUGCGCAAGCAUGGUUUGGUAUUGGCACGUUUGGUGCCUCUUUGACAUUGUGAAUGGGUUUUUUAGAUCGAUGCCGUGUUGCAUCGUAUCGGCGAUCAUGGUCGCCGUACGAGCAAGCAACACACAUUAUGGGCAGCGGUCGUGUGGCGAAAGCUGCAUGAUGCGUUGUUCGAUCUGGCUGAGAUAUCGUCCGCACCUGGCACACCGCAAACGUUAUGCAGGUUUGUUGGUGAUGGUGUGGAUUCUCAAGCGUGAGGUAAGAGCAUCUGGUGGAUGCCUUGGCAUGUACAGGCGAAGAAGGACGUGGCACGCUGCGAUAAGCGUCGGGGAGCUGUGAGCAAGCUUUGAUCCGGCGAUUUCCGAAUGGGGAAACCCACCUUCACCAUUU